This 253-nucleotide ribosomal RNA is filed under the name uncultured bacterium. RNAcentral describes it as "partial 16S ribosomal RNA". It matches the Rfam family "Bacterial small subunit ribosomal RNA", at positions 524 to 776 of the family's 1533-position model. The record is from RNAcentral.
GACAGAGGGUGCAAACGUUGUUCGGAAUUACUGGGCGUAAAGCGCGCGUAGGCGGCUUUGUAAGUUAGAGGUGAAAGCCCGGGGCUCAACCCCGGAACUGCCUUUAAGACUGCAUCGCUUGAAUCCGGGAGAGGUGAGUGGAAUUCCGAGUGUAGAGGUGAAAUUCGUAGAUAUUCGGAAGAACACCAGUGGCGAAGGCGGCUCACUGGACCGGUAUUGACGCUGAGGUGCGAAAGCGUGGGGAGCAAACAGG